This 316-nucleotide ribosomal RNA is filed under the name Metarthrodes longipes. RNAcentral's name for it is "partial 12S ribosomal RNA". The record is from RNAcentral. Lineage: Eukaryota; Metazoa; Arthropoda; Arachnida; Opiliones; Gonyleptidae.
CCCUAUUAUAAAAGGUGAAUUGAAAUUAGUAUUAGUGAAAUUUAAAGAUGUUGGCGGUUAAUUUUUUUUUAGAGGAGCUUGUUUUGAGAUAGAAUCUACUCUUUAAAUUUUAAAAGUAAAAAACUUAUUCAUCUCCGUUAUCAAAUAAGUUCUAAUAGAAAGAUCUAAAAUAUCAGGUCAAGAUGUAGUAUUUAUUGGAAUAAAUUAGCUACAUUUAUAUUAAUAAAUGGAUAUUUUUGGGAAGGUUCGAAAAUUGAAAUUGAAUUUAAUUGUAAUACUAAUUAGAAAAUUAGUAUGAAUUGAUAAAGUUAGUGUA